Molecule: unclassified non-coding RNA, 509 nt
Filed under: Hevea brasiliensis (rubber tree)
Lineage: Eukaryota; Viridiplantae; Streptophyta; Magnoliopsida; Malpighiales; Euphorbiaceae
Source: RNAcentral
ACCACAACUAAUAACAUGGAUGGCUUCUUUCAGGAGAGAUGCUGACGAUGCUCCUGGAGGAACACCACCAUCUUCUAGAAGUGUUGAAGCAACAAAUACCGGUGAUUGUCCAAAUUUCUUCUCGAGUUUUAUUUGCGGCAUGAUGGAAGCUUUUUCGCUAUCAAUUCCUUCAAUUCCUUCCUCGAUAUUUUCAAGGGCAUGAAUUUGUGGUGAAGCCUCUUUGCUUUUUGGCUUCUUUUUGUUAUCCUUGGUUGUUUUCGCUUUCUUGUGCUUCUUUCGAGUACCGAAACAACAGCAACACCAUCUCGGCCAGCAGUUGCAUGUUUUUCCUGGAGGUUUUGUCUUCUUUGGAGCAUCAUAACCAUAAAGGGCUUGCCUCCUGAAGACACAUCCAGUGCCGACAUAAAUUGGACCCUGGAUCCCAUCAAGUCCUUUCAUAUUGAUAUCAAAGAAGACAACAUUGCGGUUGGAGUAUCUGUCAUGCCUGUCAAUACCAUCAAAUCUUUGAG